UGUAAUCAACAUUAGUAGUCUUAGUCACUACGUCAUAAUUGCAAAAAAAUAAUAACGCUUAAAAUCGUCAUUCAACAGUACUUUCGAGCAGUGUGUCUAUGUGAGCGCAGUAGAAUGUCGGACUAGAUUCAACUGCGCUGUAGAAAGUAGAUAUUCAACAGCGCUGUAGAAAGUAGAUAUUCAACAGUGCAUACUCAAGCAAGCAAACGCUAUAGAUAGCAGACAUUCAGCAGUGCUUACUCAAGCAAGUGCUGACUUAGCAUCAUCGAAUUGCAGCAAGAUUGCGUUUGGUUUGGUGCGCGACCAAAACAAGAUGGGCAUGAUGUGUUUUGUUCUCUUGGUUAUUCCCUUUUCGGCGGAGCAAAAAUGUUCUAUUAUUUCAAUCUUAUGUUGUAUAGAUUAAAGAACCUACAUGUUCUGUUUCAUUUUGUAAUGAUAUGCAUACCAAACAUUGAAUGAGAUACAGAAAUAGUAAGAGAUUGAAGUAGUUACCGAAGAGGGAAUGCCAGUGAAGGCAAAGAAACCAAGCAAAGGAGCAUAAAACACACUGUCUGAGCUCAAAACUCCAAACACUGGUUUUUGGUUCACAUACUCAAAAAUUGAACCUAUCUGUCAUACACAAUUCAUUUCCAACCAAUAAGUAGCAGUAACAUGAAAUAGAAAAUGCAAUGCAAUGCAAAAUUCAGUGCAUUAGAUGCAUGUGAUGCCAAUUUCUAAUAAAAAACAUCAAAAAAUGUAAUACAAGUUAGUUUAAUUUUGAUGCAUUAUCUGUGAUACUAUCAACUUUCUAGUAAAAACAUAAAAUAUGUAACAUUGUCUCUCGUGCUACUAACUAUGGACUUUCUAAUCCAAACAUAAAAUGUGUUACAAGCCAUGAAUAAAGUAAGUACUUUCAUGCAUUAUCUAUCUAUUGUACUAGCUAUCAAAAAAUCUAGGUGCACAUAUAUGAUAAGAGUUUAAUAAAAUGUAACACAUAAUUACUUUUAUUUAAGAAUAAUAAGAGAAGAGUUUGGUUAGUACUUACAGCUGCAAUAGCAGUAAUAGCAGAAGCAAGUAAAUAAACAUAGAAUGGUAUCUGAAAUCCACCAAUAUUAUUAUUAUUUUCACUGUUUUUGUUGGUUUCAUCCUUAGCCCAUGGUGGAGGUUCAUUAGAAUCAGGCUUAGCCCAUGAAGGUAUUUUUUCAUCUGAUGACUUGCUUGAUUCUGCAGAGCCUUGUGUCACUGCAACAACCACUAAUGGUUUUGUUCUUGUUGAUGUUGUUGUUCUCUUCUUAUGACCAUAGUAACCAUGAAAACAAAACAACCUUGUACUAAUAUUCCUAUGAUAUGUUGUGUGUUGUGGUGAUGCAUGUUUAGUAUAUAGGAUUGAUGAUAAGGUAGUGGUAGUGGUAGUUGCAGCCAUGGUUUGUAACAUAAGAAUUAGUUAAUGUGUUAAUAGUUCUUUCAAUGCAGAAGCUAAUAUGCUAGUUCCUUUAUCAAAAUGCUUCUUUCUUCAGCCAUUCAUAUCUUAUCUUCAAUUUGGGCUUUUAAUGUUCAAUGAUCCUUAACUAGAGAAAAGAGAAAAGGCCCACUUCAAUUUUAUAAUUUAGAUUUUUAAGGCUUAUAUCUUAUAAUAUUACUUUUUUCCUAAAGAUUCAUAUAGAAUAUCUAAUAUCUAAUCUAAUUAUGAAUUUUAUUUUUUUAAUUAAUUUUAAAGUGAUACCAAACUCAUGAGCUUUCAUAUGUUAACCAAUGAUACCUCUCACCAAAAAAGUGAUCCAAUGCAUAAAACUUUCACUUAAUAGAGUCUGAUAAUAAUAGUUAUAUGCAGUCACUUAUUAUAACUAUAAUUUGAAAGAAAAUAGAUUAUACCAUAUUUAUAUUGAUUUUGAACAUGAAUAAUGGUUCCAAUCAAUAGAAACCUCUAUACAUUUAGAUAUCUUUUAUAAAUAUUUUUUGUUGUAUUUAGAUUAAUUUUUUUAUUAAUUUUAUAGAAACAUGUAUUAGGUGUUGCAGAAUUGAGAAGAGGACUAAAAUGUGAACACUGAAGUCUAUUAUGAUAACAUCAUGAGGCCAAAACAAGAAAGCAUAAGAAUAACCAAACCAACCUUAAAACUUGGACAUGAACUUAGUGUGAAUAUGAAUGUGCUUUUGAUGCACUCUUCCUUUUUAUCUAAGCCUCUUUCACCCUUCACCCUUCAUCUAUCAACCUUAAAAACAACAUUAAUCAUUCCCUUUUUGUCUCUAACAUAAACUCAUAGUGUUCACAAAUGGAAGCAAGAUUUUUUGCACAGAACAAGAGUCAAAUACUAACUUCAGCUCAUUGGAAUAAGGUGAACAAAUAUAAACCACAAAAUCCUUUUAUUGUUGCAGUGCUCACAAGGCCUUCUUCUUCUUCAGAUGACAUUGCAGGACAAACAAGAAAAAUAAAUGUCUACAAAGAUAACUUCUUUGAUCUCUUAGCCAUAAACCAUUUAUCAAAAACUGUUCAAGCAUCUACAGGUUAAUUCACCUUUCUCCCUUUCUUGUAGUUGUAUUUUAUCUCAAGGAUAAGUUUUAUAAUUUGACAUAUUGAUGCAUUGAGAUUCAUUUUUUAUAUUGGGCUCGUAACUAUAACACAACCUCCACAUAUUAUCCGACUUUAUAAUCGGUUAGGUAAAAUUUUGCAACAAAGCGCAACAUGACGUUUUUUAGAGACAAUUUUUUAUGGCAAAGGGAUGAGAAAAACUAUGAAACCGCCUAUAUAAGUUUAAUUCGAACUCAAGUGCUCACACUUUCUGCCCCGUAGUUCCACCAACUAAGCUGAUGUAGGAAAUGCUAUAUUAGUUACUUGUUUGAUCCAUGUAGCCGAUUAUUAAUAAUGGAAAAGGACUUCAUUAUGGUUGUUGAAGUUGUAUAUUUUCUUUCCAUUCAUCUUUAUGUUGAGUUCUUUGCAGGAUUCAGUAACAAUAAGAGUGGUUAUGAGAGCUUGACAGAGGCAGCUAUAAUGGCUUCACAGAAAUUGAAUCCUAUUCAGCAAAGAGAGGUGGUCAUUGAAUCUCUUUACAAAGCUUUCCCAAGGCCAAUACUUUCAUUGGUCAGUUUAUUUACUCAUUAUUAUUAAUUUGAUUUGAUCUUCUUUUUGUGCUUUCUCUCAUGCCAACUAAAGCACAUGUUCUAAACUUCUCUCAUAUAUGAUUUAUACAUAUAGUUCAUAAUAAUUAAUUAUGUUAUAUGAUUUACAUAUAGCACCAAAUAUAGGAAUUAUUAUGCACCAAGUAGCCAGGCUAAAAAAAUAUACAAAGUGAUUCACAUUUUACAAUUUAGCUUCUAAGCACUUAAUAGGUUUAGUAUAGCCCCUGAAUUUAGCUUCAUUUGUUUGGUAUUAUAGAGUUAUAGAAGAACCAAACAUUAGUAGUGAAGCUAUAUAUAUUGUUUAGUUUUGUCCCAUGCUUAAUUACAAUGUUGUUUUAUGCCAAAGUGUUUCUUAAGCCAUCUUUCUAUAGAAAGUUUAAAAAUGGUAAAAAAUGAUUAAACUCAAAUAUUAGUUAGGCUAAAUAAUUUAUUAUAUAGGUGGCAAAAACCGUUACAAACAAUAAAAUAAUAAUAAUAUAAAUAAUAACUAACAAGAUAAACAAAGUUUAACUAAAUCGUAGAGAAAAUAACACGCUAUGAAUUCAAAUAUAUUUAACACUUUCAACAUAUUCAGUUUUCUAAUUCACUAGCAUUGUAAUUUUGAGGAAUGAAUAUAUGUAUGUUGUUAUAUGUGAGUGUGACUCUAUUGGCAGAUAAGGAAGGUGGUACCAGAAUCUAAAAUAGCAAGAGAAUGUUUUGCUGCCUUCACCUCUCUCUUCUUUGUUUGGUUAGUUGGGCCAUCUGAGGUAAACAACUCUAGUUGCAUGUGUUCAAAAAUUCAAAAAUGUGCAUGGACUUGCAUAUUUUUUAACCACAAACAAAUACUUAAAUAGUAUCUCUGAAUUCUUUUUAAUUUGUAACACUUAAGUUAAGAAUCAUAAUUACUAUUUAUUGAACUCUCCUUAUGUGUUUAAGUCCCAACAAUUGGUGCUUUCAUUGAGAGUGCGUCAUAGAAAUGACUACCUAUAUGAUAAAUUUAAGGUACAUAUUAAAUGAAUACUGAUAGGUGAGUAAAACCGUCAAAAGAGUAAGAGCUACUAUCGGGUCAGUGCCUAUAGAGUGAAAACUGCCAUAGGCGUCAAUCCUUGGGGAUGAUAAUGUUAAGAGUUCCACAAUGAAGUAAUAACAUGAUAUUCAAUACGCUACCAUAUACUAAUCUCUAUAUGAACAUUGAUGAACAACAUAAAAGAAUUACAAUGGAUUGUGUAUAUGACUCAAUGUAGCAGACCAGAGAAAAAAGGUAUCUAAUUUGGAGUAAUAAGCUUGAGAUGUGAAUAGAAAAAGGGUGUAAACAUUUGAGAAGAGGAAAGGUUAGAGUAUGAGACUAUAAGGCUAUUUAUAACCAUCCCUCUUGUCUUGUUCUUCAGCUUCCUUGUUGGCUGUUUGAACUGACUUGAACCAUAGGAAGGCCUGUAAUCAACAUUAGUAGUCUUAGUCACUACGUCAUAAUUGCAAAAAAAUAAUAACGCUUAAAAUCGUCAUUCAACAGUACUUUCGAGCAGUGUGUCUAUGUGAGCGCAGUAGAAUGUCGGACUAGAUUCAACUGCGCUGUAGAAAGUAGAUAUUCAACAGCGCUGUAGAAAGUAGAUAUUCAACAGUGCAUACUCAAGCAAGCAAACGCUAUAGAUAGCAGACAUUCAGCAGUGCUUACUCAAGCAAGUGCUGACUUAGCAUCAUCGAAUUGCAGCAAGAUUGCGUUUGGUUUGGUGCGCGACCAAAACAAGAUGGGCAUGAUGUGUUUUGUUCUCUUGGUUAUUCCCUUUUCGGCGGAGCAAAAAUGUUCUAUUAUUUCAAUCUUAUGUUGUAUAGAUUAAAGAACCUACAUGUUCUGUUUCAUUUUGUAAUGAUAUGCAUACCAAACAUUGAAUGAGAUACAGAAAUAGUAAGAGAUUGAAGUAGUUACCGAAGAGGGAAUGCCAGUGAAGGCAAAGAAACCAAGCAAAGGAGCAUAAAACACACUGUCUGAGCUCAAAACUCCAAACACUGGUUUUUGGUUCACAUACUCAAAAAUUGAACCUAUCUGUCAUACACAAUUCAUUUCCAACCAAUAAGUAGCAGUAACAUGAAAUAGAAAAUGCAAUGCAAUGCAAAAUUCAGUGCAUUAGAUGCAUGUGAUGCCAAUUUCUAAUAAAAAACAUCAAAAAAUGUAAUACAAGUUAGUUUAAUUUUGAUGCAUUAUCUGUGAUACUAUCAACUUUCUAGUAAAAACAUAAAAUAUGUAACAUUGUCUCUCGUGCUACUAACUAUGGACUUUCUAAUCCAAACAUAAAAUGUGUUACAAGCCAUGAAUAAAGUAAGUACUUUCAUGCAUUAUCUAUCUAUUGUACUAGCUAUCAAAAAAUCUAGGUGCACAUAUAUGAUAAGAGUUUAAUAAAAUGUAACACAUAAUUACUUUUAUUUAAGAAUAAUAAGAGAAGAGUUUGGUUAGUACUUACAGCUGCAAUAGCAGUAAUAGCAGAAGCAAGUAAAUAAACAUAGAAUGGUAUCUGAAAUCCACCAAUAUUAUUAUUAUUUUCACUGUUUUUGUUGGUUUCAUCCUUAGCCCAUGGUGGAGGUUCAUUAGAAUCAGGCUUAGCCCAUGAAGGUAUUUUUUCAUCUGAUGACUUGCUUGAUUCUGCAGAGCCUUGUGUCACUGCAACAACCACUAAUGGUUUUGUUC
RNAcentral lists this long non-coding RNA (5752 nucleotides) under Lupinus angustifolius (narrow-leaved blue lupine). Its description in RNAcentral is "long non-coding RNA (LANG_LNC001530)". Lineage: Eukaryota; Viridiplantae; Streptophyta; Magnoliopsida; Fabales; Fabaceae. The record is from RNAcentral.